Molecule: transfer RNA, 76 nt
Filed under: Clostridiales bacterium
Lineage: Bacteria; Bacillati; Bacillota; Clostridia; Eubacteriales
Also listed under: 7 other names
Description: tRNA-His
Rfam family: tRNA
About the family: Transfer RNA (tRNA) molecules are approximately 80 nucleotides in length. Their secondary structure includes four short double-helical elements and three loops (D, anti-codon, and T loops).
Source: RNAcentral
GCGGGCGUAGCUCAAUCGGUAGAGCGCCAGAUUGUGGCUCUGGAGGUAGCAAGUUCGAAACUUGUCGCCCGCCCCA